Molecule: ribosomal RNA, 459 nt
Filed under: uncultured bacterium
Lineage: Bacteria
Description: partial 16S ribosomal RNA
Rfam family: Bacterial small subunit ribosomal RNA
Source: RNAcentral
CCUACGGGUGGCAGCAGUGAGGAAUAUUGGUCAAUGGUCGGGAGACUGAACCAGCCAAGCCGCGUGAGGGAUGAAGGUACAGAGUAUCGUAAACCUCUUUUGUCAGGGAACAAAGGCGGGGACGUGUCCCCGGAUGAGUGUACCUGAAGAAAAAGCAUCGGCUAACUCCGGGCCAGCAGCCGCGGAAAUACGGGGGAUGCGAGCGUUAGCCGGAUUUAUUGGGUUUAAAGGGGGCGCAGGCGGUCGGUUAAGUCAGAGGUCAAAGCCCGGGGCUCAACCCCGGCCCGCCGUUGAAACUGGCAUGCUCGAGUGAGAGAGAAGUAUGCGGAAGGCGCGGUGUAGCGGUGAAAUGCAUAGAUAUCGCGCAGAACUCCGAUUGCGAAGGCAGCAUGCCGGCUCCACACUGACGCUGAGGCACGAAAGCGUGGGUAUCGAACAGGAUUAGAUACCCGGGUAGUC